This 74-nucleotide transfer RNA is filed under the name Clostridioides difficile. RNAcentral's name for it is "tRNA-Gly". It matches the Rfam family "tRNA". Rfam says of the family: Transfer RNA (tRNA) molecules are approximately 80 nucleotides in length. Their secondary structure includes four short double-helical elements and three loops (D, anti-codon, and T loops). Lineage: Bacteria; Bacillati; Bacillota; Clostridia; Peptostreptococcales; Peptostreptococcaceae. The record is from RNAcentral.
GCGGGGGUAGCUCAAUGGUAGAGUUCUGGCCUUCCAAGCCAGCUGUGAGGGUUCGAUCCCCUUCACCCGCUCCA